UUUGGUUAAAUCAUUAGCCGUCAGGCGCGAGCCGUCUGUGUAAGCCUUCGACUAUGCGUUUCUCGGGCCAUCGCGUCAUCUUACGAAAACUAGAGCUGCCGGUACAAAUGGCCUGAACAGUCUUGCCUAUGGCAUGCCUGACACACUGUAGGACGUCAGUAAGCAGUACACCCAUCACAAUGCGCAGUCUAUAUGAAAGAACGGAGACAACUAACAAAUGUAAGGCGAUUUAACGCAGGCGCGGUAGUUGAGCCUAGAAGAGAACUUCAGGUAGUGGAGCCUAGAAGAGACGGGCUGAAGUUCUCUUCAGCCCGUCGCCGCCCGCUGGCCAUUUUCAUUGUUAAAGGCUCCACACUUUUCGAUAGUAGCUGCAGUCCGUAAGCAUAUAAUUUUGCAGCAUCAUGAAUGGUUCCGGCGAAGAGGAUGGCGAAACUUGGUCAAGUAUGGCUUUCGUUCUUCUUUGCAUUGCAGUACUCACUUAGCAUCAGAGUUCCUGUCAGGUAUGUGUGGGCGGUGCAAGGUGCGAGCUCCUGACUGCAUGAACAUUCGCAACAGGCACUAGAGGGCUUUUGUGCAAAGCAUUAAAGGAGAGAAUUAGAUAAAAAAAUAUAAAUCUUUGUUCUAUUCAGCAGAGGCAAUAUCCUAUGAUAUUUUUUUCGAAACAUGGCUUAUGAUAAUGUUGUUACAAAUAGAGAUUUUGCUAAGUUCUCUCUCCCCUGCUCCGCUGCCGUCCCGACGUCGCCUGCCUGCGUCAGGCAUAGGUGAUGAAAAGUUUUUCUGACGUGCCUACCUGCCUGCCUGCGAUGACAAUUUGUAAUAACGGC
This 824-nucleotide long non-coding RNA is filed under the name Volvox carteri. RNAcentral describes it as "long non-coding RNA (VCAR_LNC000156)". The record is from RNAcentral. Lineage: Eukaryota; Viridiplantae; Chlorophyta; Chlorophyceae; Chlamydomonadales; Volvocaceae.